GGACCUUAAAACUGUACUUUGAUUAAUAGACAAGCAGACGGAGCGGAGAGUUAGCGUUCACUCGCAGGCAAGCACACGCACAAGAACAGUCAAGCACACACACACACAUAAGAGAAGAGUCAAAUCCCGUCGUCAAGCACACACACACACAUAAGAGAAGAGUCAAAUCCCGUCGAAGAAGGCCUGGAACGAGGACCGUGAGCUCGGCGGACGUGGAAAUAUAUAGUCAAGAUUUUUAACUACACGCAGUCCGGUUGAUACAUAGUCCGGGCUACGACCUAUAAUAUCGAGAACCCUUCACGUUCCGAACGGACAAUUUGAAAGGACAAAGAGAUCAAUCACAUGUUUGUAUGCGUAAGUGUAUUUGUACGGUCGUUGGGUAGAACGAUAUGAGCACGAACAUGAACAAAUAAAAGAACAAACCUUUUACCAAAGAAUAGGAGGAUUGUUGAAAAGAGACAGCGAUGUCGCGGGGCCGGCAAGUAACGGUGGUAGGACCCGGCAAGUUGUACUGUCACGGUUCGGCAAGCUACGGGGUCGAGUCCUCCGGCGACGACUGAGGGCACGUCCGGCGGUUACGGGGACACGUUCCAAGUUUCCGGUACCUUAAGACGCUGGUAAACUCGACCCGCUGCCUGGAUAUGUUGUAGGUUGUACAGGAGCAUGAUGUGGUUCGUAUUGGUGUUCUUGCGAGCACGGUGUCGUCGCGGGUCCGGCAAGUGGUAGCCGUGGUAUCAGGCAAGUGCCGACUGAUAGCUCCGGCAAGUGGCGGUUGUGGACUCCGGCAAGCAGCUACCUUGUUACUCCGACGUAAGAGGAGGUCGUGGUCCGGUCACGAUACCACUUGUAAGUUCCGUUGUUUCGUGUGGUGUCCAGCGUCACGACGGCGGCUGGUGUACACACGUACGCACGCUAACCACGCAUACACGAAAUCCAUAUUGACGACGUCGUGAAGUCUUUAUACUUGUUUGUUUCGAGUUUCGUUUCACGAUAAUUGACCCAGAAGGACCUCGGUUCUAGGUUGCGCACUCUCUCUUCCCCAGCAACGACAUUAUCGCUGUUGGCUGUGUGAUAUCGGCCGCAACUUGGACUGGGGCUGGAGAUGGCACUAUCUCUUUGUCAAAAGAGGGUUGCUGCGUCCGCCGAUGGGGCAUGAAAGUGGAGGCAGGCAGCGGCGGCAGGCGUGUUGAGAACUACGGCCUCAGGUGUGACAUAGCUACGCGGCGAUAGCGAGACGGCAGCGCACGUCCUUCAAGUUGCGGUGUUGGGGCCGGCAAAUUAGAACGACGGCACCCGCACGGGGCGAGGUUGAGGUAGCGGACACGAAGUGAUCACUUUGUCAUGCUGGACUCCUUGGUGCCCCCCAACUCCUGCAGGUUGAGCCGUCAGGUUGAGCCGCAAGAAGCACAGUAGCAAUCGGGGUACAAACGACCGUUCUGGUGGCACGAAGAGGCGACCGUAGCUGUCCUUCUGCUCAGGGAGCAGGCCAUGCAGGUCCAACCAUAGCUACGAGGCCGGUUGAGGAAACUAGACGAGCCUACACCUUUUUGAUCUACGUUGUAAAUACCUUUUUUUCUCUACCUAAAUAUCCUUCUACCUCGUGACCUUGCCUCUUCUGAGUCAAGUGUUUUGUUAGACUUUUUCAUCGUCCUUGUCCGUUGUCAAACGUUUUUUUUACUUCCAUGUUUAUUUCAAGUAUUUUUACGAUACUUUAAGUACAUGUAGCAGACAUCACACAACGCACUACACCGUUAUCACGCACGACAUCACACAACCACCUUUGACUUAACUUCCUAGAAGUUAUAUACUUGGUGUUCUCUCCACGUAGGACAUGUAGCAGAGUUCUAGGAAGUACAAUUAAAUAGGAAGUCAGGUUUUUAUGUACUUAGUGUUUCUGUCGACUACAACGAUAAAGAAAACCAACUACGAGUAAGUUUACAGGUACGAUGAAUACACGAUUUAAACUACGAGAUAUCAACGAAAAGCUUUA
Molecule: ribosomal RNA, 1990 nt
Filed under: Triticum aestivum (bread wheat)
Lineage: Eukaryota; Viridiplantae; Streptophyta; Magnoliopsida; Poales; Poaceae
Description: partial small subunit ribosomal RNA
Source: RNAcentral